RNAcentral lists this ribosomal RNA (253 nucleotides) under uncultured bacterium. RNAcentral describes it as "partial 16S ribosomal RNA". It matches the Rfam family "Bacterial small subunit ribosomal RNA", at positions 524 to 776 of the family's 1533-position model. The record is from RNAcentral.
UACGAAGGGUGCUAGCGUUGUUCGGAAUUACUGGGCGUAAAGCGCGCGUAGGCGGCUUUUCAAGUCAGGGGUGAAAUCCCACGGCUCAACCGUGGAAUUGCCUUUGAAACUGUGAAGCCAGAGUGUCGGAGGGGAUAGCGGAAUUGCUAAUGUAGAGGUGAAAUUCGUAGAUAUUAGCAGGAACACCGGUGGCGAAGGCGGCUAUCUGGACGACAACUGACGCUGAGGCGCGAAAGCGUGGGGAUCAAACAGG